RNAcentral lists this ribosomal RNA (484 nucleotides) under uncultured bacterium. RNAcentral describes it as "partial 16S ribosomal RNA". It matches the Rfam family "Bacterial small subunit ribosomal RNA", at positions 30 to 507 of the family's 1533-position model. The record is from RNAcentral.
AUUGAACGCUGGCGGCAGGCCUAACACAUGCAAGUCGAGCGGAUGAAGGGAGCUUGCUCCUGGAUUCAGCGGCGGACGGGUGAGUAAUGCCUAGGAAUCUUCCUGGUAGUGGGGGAUAACGUCCGGAAACGGGCGCUAAUACCUCAUACGUCCUGAGGGCGAAAGUGGGGGUUCUUCGGGCCUCACGCUAUCCGAUGACCCUAGGUCGGAUUAGCUAGUUGGUGGGGUAAAGGCCUACCAAGGCGACGAUCCGUAACUGGUCUGAGAGGAUGAUCAGUCACACUGGAACUGAGACACGGUCCGGACUCCUACGGGAGGAAGCAGUGGGGAAUAUUGGACAAUGGGCGAAAGCCUGAUCCAGCCAUGCCGCGUGUGUGAAGAAGGUCUUCGGAUUGUAAAGCACUUUAAGAUGGGAGGAAGGGCAGUAAGUUAAUACCUUGCUGUUUUGACGUUACCAAAAGAAUAAGCACCGGCUAACUUCGUG